GGGGAGGUGGUUCAAUAGUAGAGUGCUUGCCUUGCGUGCAUGAGGCCCUGGGUUCAAUUCCUCAGCACCACCU
RNAcentral lists this transfer RNA (73 nucleotides) under Dipodomys ordii (Ord's kangaroo rat). It matches the Rfam family "tRNA". From Rfam's summary of the family: Transfer RNA (tRNA) molecules are approximately 80 nucleotides in length. Their secondary structure includes four short double-helical elements and three loops (D, anti-codon, and T loops). Further hydrogen bonds mediate the characteristic L-shaped molecular structure. tRNAs have two regions of fundamental functional importance: the anti-codon, which is responsible for specific mRNA codon recognition, and the 3' end, to which the tRNAs corresponding amino acid is attached (by aminoacyl-tRNA synthetases). tRNAs cope with the degeneracy of the genetic code in two manners: having more than one tRNA (with a specific anti-codon) for a particular amino acid; and 'wobble' base-pairing, i.e. permitting non-standard base-pairing at the 3rd anti-codon position. Lineage: Eukaryota; Metazoa; Chordata; Mammalia; Rodentia; Heteromyidae. The record is from Rfam by way of RNAcentral.